AUGCAGGUUCCCUACUUAAAUAACAUACUUCCUAAAAGGGUUUCACAGCUUAGUGAAUACUUAACUCUCUUUUCACCUUUUGGCAUUCCAAAAUCCAGGCCCAAUUCAAUCAAAAAGCUAGAUUGGAAGUGUGUAUUUGGGAAAUUAAAUGGCAACAUGAAUUUCAUCUUUAAUAUAGUGAUUUCUAUAAUGGAAGACUCGGGUUUUUUCUUUGACUUGUUUCUGCUUUUAUGAGGUUUUUUGUUGUUGUUGUUGUUUUGUUUGUGUGUUUUGAGAAUUUAUCAUAGAUCCAAAAGAACUAACGUGCAUUUAUUUGCUUUUCUACUUUUACUACUUUUUAACAAUAUAGUAAUUAAAAGAACAGUUUAAAAAAGGAAAAUUAAAAAUAUAAAGGGAAUUAAUCAUGUAGCAUAAAAACCUGACUUUACUUUCCUACCCUUCCCUCUACCCCAUGCAUAAGUACAAGAAACAACUUAUUAAGGACAUAGAAUUCAGGUAAUGUAAAAUAACUGAUAACUACUGGAAAUCAGUACCAAUAUUAGACUGACUUGGCAUACAGCAUGGAGAAGGAGUGACUCAUUUUCUGUAAAGGUUUCUUAGGGGGGAAGUUUUUCAAGACCAAGAAAUAGAAUCAUGCUUCCCAGGGCAUGAACACAACAAGCACUGAUUAUGGGCUCACUCUCUCAAUGACAUCAGAUGGCAAGAGUCUGAAACUGACCUUUAAAUCUUACAAAUAGACCACAUGUACCCAUAUAAUUGGCAUGGAAAGGCUUCUACUCUCUCUCCUUAGGACCAUAUAAGGAGAUCCCAUUAAAUGAAGGAUUAAGACCUCUAUGCUUGCAAAGACUUUAAUGAUUCUAUGAUCUCAUGGAUAGAGUUCUCUUUCCAGUGGCAUAUAUCACAACUUGAACACUUUUUCAUCUAUUAUAGUGAAAGCCUAUAUAUUCCCAUGGAUCCUUCAUAAAAGAUCCACUAAUCCACCUUCUAGAAUGUUUUAAUCACAUGAGAAAUAAUAGAGCAAAACAAAGAAUUGACCUUCUUCCUUUUCUCCUGCUUUAUGACCAAGCUAUUUAUUUUUAUUACAUAUUCUCUAGAUAAUGUUUUGGUUACUUAACAUUUGCAAGUCUUUAUUGGUAAUAUAGUAUAGGAAAAUUUAUCAAAAUCUACCUCACUAAUGCUUUUUAAAGUGUUUAUAAUUUUGACUCUUCAGAGAUAGUGAUGUGUUGCAAUACAU
Molecule: long non-coding RNA, 1234 nt
Filed under: Monodelphis domestica (gray short-tailed opossum)
Lineage: Eukaryota; Metazoa; Chordata; Mammalia; Didelphimorphia; Didelphidae
Description: lncRNA (ENSMODG00000043626.1)
Source: RNAcentral